RNAcentral lists this long non-coding RNA (226 nucleotides) under Marmota monax (woodchuck). Lineage: Eukaryota; Metazoa; Chordata; Mammalia; Rodentia; Sciuridae. The record is from RNAcentral.
CGUUCAAAACUCACGUGUGAGUGCGGGGAAAAAGCUGAAAAAUUCCUUAAAGAGAAAAAAGAAGAUGAAAAUGGUAGCCAGGGCUGUGACAUCGAAGCUGGAAGAUGAGGGCAAAGACGCUUCCGACAGUGAAGGUAAUGUAUUAAGGCUGAGCUUCGGCGUCUGAGAGGAAACACUAGGCUCAGUUCCCGGGAAGCCCGAUGUCAGUGUGCUUGGUGGAAGCCGC